This is a non-coding RNA of Pelobates cultripes (western spadefoot toad), 285 nucleotides long. The record is from the annotation of a GenBank genome assembly. NCBI's taxonomy places the organism in Eukaryota, Metazoa, Chordata, Amphibia, Anura, Pelobatidae.
GAGGCACUGAGGCUAGUGGUGUUGUGGAGACCGGCUUGGAGACUAUGGUGAGGCCUAAUAGAAAGCAGUUGUUGGGGGAUUCCAUUAUAAGAGGUGUGGAGAUGGACAAUGGUGGUCUUGUGAGGUGUCUUCCCGGAGCUACUGCUCACAGAGACAGGAGACGUAUCUGUAAUAUUGUUAAGCAAGCAAAGCAGGAAGGGGAAUUGGAUGUACUUGUCCAUCUAGGGACAAAUGACUUGGCUUGUAAUGAGGUUUCAGAGGUUAAGGAAGUUUUUAGUGUUUUUG